This 2814-nucleotide long non-coding RNA is filed under the name Sus scrofa (pig). Its description in RNAcentral is "lncRNA (ENSSSCG00035030997.1)". Lineage: Eukaryota; Metazoa; Chordata; Mammalia; Artiodactyla; Suidae. The record is from RNAcentral.
UCCUGGGGAGAAAGGCAGGCCUUCGUUGGGGCUGGGUCUGCAGUGUCUCCAGGUUGCGGCCUUCCUUACCUCCAAGCCUGGGACACUCAGGGCAAAAAGAAAAGCCAGGGAAGCCCAUUGCUGUGCUGUUUGUUCCUUGGGUCCUGAGGUCCCUGGCCAUUCUGCCUUCUCUUCACCUUCCUCUUCUUAACAUUUCUUUGUCUGUGGUUUCCAGGGCUUUAGUUGCUGUAUUUAGCAGGAGGAAUAGGAAAAAGCACAUCGACUCUGUUUUCCCAGGAGCAGAGAUCUCUCAGGUGAGUUUGACUAGCUUUUUAUUGCAUACUUCUUUUUUUCUGAUAUAAAUCUUUAGGAGUUCCCAUUGCGGUAACGAACUCAAUUAGUAUCCGUGAAGAUGCAGGUUCCAUCCCUGGCCUUGCUCAGUGGGUUAAGGAUCUGUUGUGAGCUGCAGUGGAGGUUGGCAGCUGCAGCUCUGAUUUGACUUCUAGGCUGGGAAUUUGUACAUGCUGUGUGUGGCCCUAAAAAGACAAUAAACAAACAAACAAACAAACCUUUAUUUAAGCAACUUGGUAACAUUGAACUCUAAAUCCUUAAGACGUUCUUGUUUAUUUUUUCAUUAAAGCACAGUUGAUGUUUUCUUUUCUUUUUUCUUUUUUCUUUUUUUUUUUUUUUUUUUUUUUUUUGUCAUCUUUAGAGGGCUGCACCCUCGGUGUAUGGAGGUUCCCAGACUAGGGGUCUAAUCGGAGCUGUAGCCACCAGCCUACGCCACAGCCACAGCAACGAGGGAUCCGAGCUGUGUCUGUGACCUACACCACAGCUCACAGCAACACCGGAUCCUCAACCCACUGAGCAAGGCCAGGGAUUGAACCUGCAACCUCAUGGUUCCUAGUCAGAUUUGCUUCCGCUGUGCCAUGAUGGGAACUCCAAAGUACAGUUGAUUUAAAAUGUUGUGCCAGGAGUUCCUGUCAUGACUCAGCGUUUAACAAACCAGCGUAGGAUCCAUGAGGACAUGGGUUCAAUCCCUGGCUUCCCUCAGUGGGUUAAGGAUCCAGUGUUGCCAUGAGCUGUGGUGUAGGUUACAGACUCAGCUUGGAUCCUGUGUUGCUGUGGCUGUGAUGUAGGCUAGGGGUCUAAUUGGAGCUAUAUCCACCAGCCUACACUAGCAAGGCUAGGUCUGAGCCAAGUCUGCAACCUACACCACAACUCGAGACAAUGCCAGGCCCUUAAUCCACUGAGCGAGGCCAGGGAUCAAACCCUCAACCUCAUGGUUACUAGUCUGAUACAUUCCUGCUGCUCCACAAUGAAACAUCCAUGACUCUGACAUUUUUGAAAACUGUAGUCCAGUAAUUACAUAGAAUAUCCUUCAGUUAUAUAGAAUUUCCUCAAUGUAUGUGAUGUUUCUCAUGAUUGGAUUUGCAUUUUUUUUCUAGCAGGAACAUUACAUGAAUGCUCUGUCUUUCUCAGUGCAUCUUAUCAGGUGAUACGGUAUAUCAAUAGGACCCAUCACUGGUGAUGUACAGACAUUGAGAGCUUGAUUAAGGGAAAUCUCCCUAGUCCUCUCCAUUGUCAAGUUUUUCUUUUAAUUUUUGUAACUAAGAAGCACUUUUCGUGGGGAGAUACUUUGAUAGUAUUUGAAUAUCCUAUCCUCAAUCCAACUUAAGCCACAAGAGGCAGCAUCCAUUGACAAUUCUUGCACACAUCAGUUGUUGCCAAAAAGGUUGAAAAACUAUACUUUUCUUUAGGUGACUUAAGUUUAUUCCUUUUGUCUUGUAACCAAAAGAACCUGACUAAAGCCAAAGUUAGAAUGGAAUGUUUCUAUCAGGGGUUUGUAUGGCAAAGCCACUAAUUGGCCAACCCCUGGGGUCUCUCAGACUCUCUGCAUGGGUGCUCCAUUGGGGGGUGGGCGGGGUGUGAUGGUUUGGUGGCUGUAGCUCUGGAUCAUUUCUAAGGUGGCGGGGGGAUUGUUUUUGAGUGCUCUAGACUGGAUUAGUUACUGUAUUAUAAAUUCCUUACUAUCUUGCCAAACCUGUACUGAUACUUUGUUUUAGUAUAUGUGCUGCCAAGCAAGCACGGAUACUUUGUUUUAAUGUCUGUCUCCCUCCCUAGAGAGUAAGCUUUGGGACCUUCGGAAACAUAGCCCUUGAUCUAAGGGGUAGAAACUGCCGCAUGGAUUAAAGGAGAAAUGACCACGUCAAAUACGACACCUCUUUGGCUUGUCUCGCUGUGUCUCACGUCUCGGUUUUAUAUGCUUCCUCUGGCAUCUUUUUAUUAUAGUCUUAAUACUACCUGCACAUUUUGCUGAAAAGAUGCCAUUUUUUGGAGCCUGAAUUUGCCCUGCUCUGUCACUCAACACCAGUCCAGCCACUUUCCUGCAGGGGUAACAUUCAGUGUUGUGUGUUUUGCAGCUCCAGUGCCUGGCACGGUGUUUGAUAAAUAUUUAUUGACUGAGUGAGUGAAUGUAAGUAGGGGAGGCAGACAACAGUGGGUAGGGUCUGCGAUGUCCUGGCUGAAGAGCAAUUCUUGACUGUAAUGUGCUCAAAUCCAUCAGUGUUUCCCUUUAUGGUUUGCAGUUUCAUGAAUUUAAGAAAAUUCCAUGAAGGAGUUCCCAUUGUGGUGCAGCAGAAACAAAUCCGGCUAGGAACCAUGAGGUUUUGGGUUCGAUCUCUGGCCUCACUCAGUGGGUUAAGGAUCCAGCAUUGCUGUGACUGUGGUGUAGGCUGGCAGCUGUAACUCUGAUUCGACCCCUAGCCUGGGAACCUCCAUAUGCCGCAGGUAUGGCCGAAAAAGCAAAAAAAAAAAAAAAAAAAAAAAAAAAAA